This 86-nucleotide ribosomal RNA is filed under the name uncultured bacterium. RNAcentral's name for it is "partial 16S ribosomal RNA". The record is from RNAcentral.
AGGAAGAAGGUUUUCGGAUGUAAACUGCUUUUCUCGGGGAAGAGAAACGGACGGUACCCAGGAAGAAGCCCCGGCUAACUACGUGC